This 277-nucleotide long non-coding RNA is filed under the name Zostera marina. Its description in RNAcentral is "long non-coding RNA (ZMAR_LNC004518)". Lineage: Eukaryota; Viridiplantae; Streptophyta; Magnoliopsida; Alismatales; Zosteraceae. The record is from RNAcentral.
CUUCACCAGCGUCAGCCUCGCCGCCGAACCCGGACUAAUCGCUCCGUGCUCAGAUCCGGUGACCCAAUCCAGAGCGAGAACAUCGCAGCACGCUGGGCGGACGUUGUCCUUGACGACCGAGAGGUGGGAAGGGUGAUCGGAAUAUGCGACGAGGUCGGUCUUCGUAGGAUACCGGCCGUGGAGGACGUAAGUGAACGGCUCUGCGGCAGAGGAUCGAUGGCGCAGAACGGAUUCUACAGUAAGAUGGGUGACGUUUGGGAGGGAACUGAGAGAGCGG